GGCUGGUCCGAUGGCAGUGGGUUAUCAGAAUUUAUUAAUAUUAGUGUCACUAAAGUUGGUACACCCCCCCCACUGCUAAAUUUGACUGGCUUUAA
Molecule: unclassified non-coding RNA, 95 nt
Organism: Cavia porcellus (domestic guinea pig)
Lineage: Eukaryota; Metazoa; Chordata; Mammalia; Rodentia; Caviidae
Rfam family: Y RNA
About the family: Y RNAs are components of the Ro ribonucleoprotein particle (Ro RNP), in association with Ro60 and La proteins.
Source: Ensembl